This 534-nucleotide ribosomal RNA is filed under the name Microporellus obovatus. RNAcentral describes it as "SSU rRNA". It matches the Rfam family "Bacterial small subunit ribosomal RNA", at positions 485 to 961 of the family's 1533-position model. The record is from RNAcentral. Lineage: Eukaryota; Fungi; Basidiomycota; Agaricomycetes; Polyporales; Polyporaceae.
UAAUAGUGUCGUCUAAAACUGGUGCCAGAAGACUCGGUAAGGCCAGAGACACAAAUGUUAAUCGUCUUAAUCAGGCGUAAAGGGUUUGUAGGCUGCUUUGAAAAUAUUAAUUUAAUAUAGCAUUUAUUCUUUUUAAAUUAUUUCUCUAUCUAUUCCUAGAUAGGGUAUUAAUAAUUAAUAGAAAAUUAGUAAAUUAAUAUCAAUUAAAGCUAGAAUCUAAUAGAGGAUAGUUACGAAAGAAUGCUUGGUCGAGGGCUGAGAUCCGUAGACACUGAGUGGAAUACCAAUGGCGUAAGCAUUUAUCCAUUAAAGAUUGACGCUGAGAAACGAAGGUGAGGAUAGGAAAUAGGAUUAGAUACCCAGAUACCCCUCUCUGUCAACGAUGAAUGGUAGUUGUUAGUAUAUAUGAGCUAGUGACGAAGUUAACACGUUAACCAUUCCGCCUUGUGAGUACGACUGCAAAGUUGAAAACAAAAAAAUUAGUCGGUCUCGGAGCAAACGAAGUGAAGUAUGUUAUUUAAUUCAUAAUCCGCA